RNAcentral lists this ribosomal RNA (495 nucleotides) under uncultured bacterium. Its description in RNAcentral is "partial 16S ribosomal RNA". It matches the Rfam family "Bacterial small subunit ribosomal RNA", at positions 28 to 507 of the family's 1533-position model. The record is from RNAcentral.
GACGAACGCUGGCGGCGUGCCUAAUACAUGCCAGUAGAACGCUGAAGGAGGAGCUUGCUUCUCUGGAUGAGUUGCGAACGGGUGAGUAACGCGUAGGUAACCUGCCUGUUAGCGUGGGAUAACUAUUGGAAACGAUAGCUAAUACCGCAUAAGAGUAGAUGUUGCAUGACAUUUGCUUAAAAGGUGCCAUUUCAUCACUACCAGCUGGUCCUGCGUCGUAUUAGCUAGUUGGUGAGGUAACGGCUCACCAAGGCGACGAUACGUAGCCGACCUGAGAGGGUGAUCGGCCACACUGGGACUGAGACACGGCCCAGACUCCUACGGGAGGCAGCAGUAGGGAAUCUUCGGCAAUGGACGGAAGGCUGACCGAGCAACGCCGCGUGAGUGAAGAAGGUUUUCGGAUCGUAAAGCUCUGUUGUAAGAGAAGAACGAGUGUGAGAGUGGAAAGUUCACACUGUGACGGUAUCUAACCAGAAAGGGACGGCUAACUACGUG